This 250-nucleotide ribosomal RNA is filed under the name uncultured bacterium. RNAcentral's name for it is "partial 16S ribosomal RNA". It matches the Rfam family "Bacterial small subunit ribosomal RNA", at positions 524 to 773 of the family's 1533-position model. The record is from RNAcentral.
UACGGAGGGUGCAAGCGUUGCUCGGAAUCAUUGGGCGUAAAGCGCGUGUAGGCGGCCAACUAAGUCUGAUGUGAAAUCCCAGGGCUCAACUCUGGAACUGCAUCGGAUACUGGAUGGCUAGAGGAUGAGAGAGGGUGGUGGAAUUCCUGGUGUAGGGGUGAAAUCCGUAGAUAUCAGGAGGAACAUCAGUGGCGAAGGCGGCCACCUGGCUCAUUUCUGACGCUGAGACGCAAAAGCGUGGGGAGCAAAC